Macadamia integrifolia is the source of this 390-nucleotide long non-coding RNA. RefSeq lists it as uncharacterized. NCBI's taxonomy places the organism in Eukaryota, Viridiplantae, Streptophyta, Magnoliopsida, Proteales, Proteaceae. The record is from RefSeq and is a predicted model, not a curated record. The transcript has 2 exons.
AUGUACUCUGUGUGGUACGCAAUUCUUUCUUUUUUCUUUGGGAGCCCUGUGUAGGAUCUCAAUUGUUUCCUUUACUGUGCUUCAUUUGAUGUCUAACUGUGGUACUGGAUUGUGUAAAAAUUUCAUAAACGAAGGGGAUUAUAAGAAAACCAAAGGACCCGUGUACAGAUGAAGUAUUCAGAUACAUGGUGAUGGGAGUAGGGAAAGGGAGAGAGAGAGAUGGAGGGGGGGGGGAGUUGGGAGGACCCGUGCAGUCUGAAGCAUAAUAUCCUGCUGUUCCUGAUUCUGAAGUCUGCAUCUUCUGUUGUAGUUCUUUGGAAUCUGAUAUGGUUCCUUCUCGGUGAUUAGCGGCUUGUAUAACUACUUGUGACAAUUUCGGUGGGUCAUCAA